Non-coding RNA from Sphingobacterium sp. IITKGP-BTPF85, 115 nucleotides. NCBI's taxonomy places the organism in Bacteria, Pseudomonadati, Bacteroidota, Sphingobacteriia, Sphingobacteriales, Sphingobacteriaceae. The record is from Rfam.
GAUUUAUAAAGAAGUGGCGAGAGACUGGCUCAAUGACCCACUGGCAACCUUCAAAAUACGUUUGAAAAGGUGCCAAUUCCUGUCCAAAGUAAUAUUGCUUUGGAGGAUAUAAAUG